RNAcentral lists this ribosomal RNA (568 nucleotides) under uncultured fungus. RNAcentral's name for it is "eukaryotic LSU rRNA". The stretch from base 209 to 362 matches the Rfam family "5.8S ribosomal RNA". The record is from RNAcentral. Lineage: Eukaryota; Fungi.
UCGUAACAAGGUCUCCGUAGGUGAACCUGCGGAGGGAUCAUUACACAAAUAUGAAGGCGGGCUGGAACCUCUCGGGGUUACAGCCUUGCUGAAUUAUUCACCCUUGUCUUUUGCGUACUUCUUGUUUCCUUGGUGGGUUCGCCCACCACUAGGACAAACAUAAACCUUUUGUAAUUGCAAUCAGCGUCAGUAACAAAUUAAUAAUUACAACUUUCAACAACGGAUCUCUUGGUUCUGGCAUCGAUGAAGAACGCAGCGAAAUGCGACAAGUAGUGUGAAUUGCAGAAUUCAGUGAAUCAUCGAAUCUUUGAACGCACAUUGCGCCCUUUGGUAUUCCAAAGGGCAUGCCUGUUCGAGCGUCAUUUGUACCCUCAAGCUUUGCUUGGUGUUGGGCGUCUUGUCUCUAGCUUUGCUGGAGACUCGCCUUAAAGUAAUUGGCAGCCGGCCUACUGGUUUCGGAGCGCAGCACAAGUCGCACUCUCUAUCAGCAAAGGUCUAGCAUCCAUUAAGCCUUUUUUUCAACUUUUGACCUCGGAUCAGGUAGGGAUACCCGCUGAACUUAAGCAUA